RNAcentral lists this long non-coding RNA (712 nucleotides) under Rattus norvegicus (Norway rat). Its description in RNAcentral is "long non-coding RNA NONRATT015922". The record is from RNAcentral. Lineage: Eukaryota; Metazoa; Chordata; Mammalia; Rodentia; Muridae.
CAUCAGAUUAUCUCUAAUGUUACUUUGUUCUGCUAUUUCUGACAGUGGCUAGACUGUCGUAUAAGCCUGUGUGUCAGGAGUGCUGUAGACCUGUUUUCCUGUUUUCUUUCAGCCUGUUAUGGGGACAGAGUGUUCUGCUUUCGGGCGUGCAGUUUUUCCUCUCUACAGGUCUUCAGUUGUUCCUGUGGGCCUGUGUCUUGAGUUCACCAGGCAGGUCACUUGCAGCAGAAAAGUUGGUCUUACCUGUGGUCCCGAGGCUCAAGUUCGCUCAUGGGGUGCUGCCCACGAGCUCUCUGCCGCGGCAGCAACCAGGAAGAUCUGCACUGCCAUUUCUGGGAGCUUCAGUGCACCAGGGUUCCAGAUGGUGUUUGGUGUUUUCCUCUGGAAUCAGUAAUGUGUGCAGAGUGCAGUCUCUUCUGGUUUCCCAGGCCUGUCUGCCUCUCUGAAGGUUUAGCUCUCCCUCCCAUGGGAUUUGGGUGCAGAGAACUGUUUAUCUGGUCUGUUCCUUCAGGUUCCAGCGGUGUCUCACACGGUGGCUCUUAACUGGCUGUAAAUCCUGGACCAGGGAUGCUAGCGCCCUCCCGUUUUUUUGUUUUUUGUUUUUUUUUUUAUGUAUUAAAAAUACAACUAGCUUUUUACAGGAAAAAUUGUCAGAAAUACACUAAAAUUGUAGUAAAAGCUUUUUGUAAUAAAAGUUGUUUGAAAAGUACAA